CUCUCCCACUCCUGCUUUCCCUCCCACUCUCUCUGUAACUCCCUCGCUCUUCUCAUCCUCCUGUGACUUAGUUUGCUGUGCGCAACAACUGGCAGAGCUCUCUGCUGUUCUCCGGCAAGCGUGGUCUUUGGCAUGGGAGGGGAUCCUGCACGUCGUUUGGGCACAUGGUCUUACGGCAGGGACAGAAGGAACCUGGAGGAACAGAAGAGAGGCAUCCUAUGCCUUCCCCAUCACUGCCGGCUCAUGGCAGCGGACGAAUGGGCGGCUUUGUGUUCAGCGGGUGCUGAGAGAUCUCUAGGAUUUGGCCUGCGAGCACUUCCGCCCCCAGAGGCCGGGCUGGACCG
This 344-nucleotide long non-coding RNA is filed under the name Danio rerio (zebrafish). RNAcentral's name for it is "lncRNA si:ch1073-362i17.1 (ENSDARG00000101927.2)". The record is from RNAcentral. Lineage: Eukaryota; Metazoa; Chordata; Actinopteri; Cypriniformes; Danionidae.